This 255-nucleotide ribosomal RNA is filed under the name Vibrio sp. s2o1. RNAcentral describes it as "partial 16S ribosomal RNA". It matches the Rfam family "Bacterial small subunit ribosomal RNA", at positions 816 to 1070 of the family's 1533-position model. The record is from RNAcentral. Lineage: Bacteria; Pseudomonadati; Pseudomonadota; Gammaproteobacteria; Vibrionales; Vibrionaceae.
CUUGGAGGUUGUGGCCUUGAGCCGUGGCUUUCGGAGCUAACGCGUUAAGUAGACCGCCUGGGGAGUACGGUCGCAAGAUUAAAACUCAAAUGAAUUGACGGGGGCCCGCACAAGCGGUGGAGCAUGUGGUUUAAUUCGAUGCAACGCGAAGAACCUUACCUACUCUUGACAUCCAGAGAACUUUCCAGAGAUGGAUUGGUGCCUUCGGGAACUCUGAGACAGGUGCUGCAUGGCUGUCGUCAGCUCGUGUCGUGA